GGGGUGGCAAAAUGCUGAGUAACACGUAGUCAAUCUACCCUGUGGCCGGGGAUAACCUUGAGAAAUUGAGGACAAUACCCGAUAUUCCACCUAUGCUGGAAUGCUUGGUGGUUUAAACGGGCUGUGAAUUGGAACAGUUCCGCCAUAGGACGAGACUGCGGGGGAUUAUGGUUGUUGGUAGGGUAAUGGCCUACCAAGCCGAUAACCUCUAGGGGCCAUGAGAGUGGUGGCCCCCAGAAGGGCACUGAGACAAGGGCCCUAGCCCUACGGGGUGCAGCAGGCGCGAAACCUCUACAAUGCUGGAAACAGUGAUAGGGGAACUCCGAGUGGCGUCGGCUAAGCCGGCGUCUUUUGCCAAGUGUAAAUAGCUUGGAGAAUAAGGGUGUGGGCAAGACUGGUGGCAGCCGCCGCGGUAACACCAGCGCCUCGAGUGGUACCCACGAAUACUGGGCCUAGAGCGUUCGUAGCCGGCCAGAUAAGUCUUCUGUGAAAUAGUGUGGCUUAACCUCACUGCGCGCAGGAGAUACUGUUUGGCUUGGGAACGGGGGAGGUCAGGAGUACACCCGGGGUAGGGGUAAAAUCCGUUGAGCCUGGGUGGACUACCAGUGGCGAAGGCGCCUGACCAAAACGUGUCCGACGGUGAGGAACGAAAGCUGGGGGAGCGAACGGGAUUAGAUACCCCGGUAGUCCCAGCUGUAAAUAAUGCGGACUGCGGUGUUGCUUCAGAGUUAAUCUGCAGCAGUGCUGUAGCGUAGGUGUUAAGUCCGCCGCCUGGGGAGUACGGCCGCAAGGUUAAAACUUAAAGGAAUUGGCGGGGGAGCACCACAAGGGGUGAAGCCUGCGGUUCAAUUGGACUCAACGCCGGGAAACUUACCAGGGGAGACAGCAGAAUGACAGUCAGGUUGACGACCUUACUCGACGAACUGAGAGGAGGUGCAUGGCCGUCGCCAGUUCGUGCUGUGAGGUAUCCUGUUAAGUCAGGCAACGAACGAGAUCCGCGCCUUUAUUUGCCAUCAAGAAGUCACGACUUCGUUGGGAACACUAAAGGGACCGCCGUCGAUAAGACGGAGGAAGGAGCGGGCAAAGGCAGGUCAGUAUGCCCCGAAACCCCUGGGCUACACGCGGGCUGCAAUGGUGCGAACAAUGGGCUGUAACUCCGAAAGGAGAAACCAAUCCCGAAAUCGCAUCUCAGUGGGGAUUGUCGACUGUAACUCGUUGACAUGAACGUGGAAUCCCUAGUAAUCGCGU
Molecule: ribosomal RNA, 1248 nt
Filed under: uncultured euryarchaeote
Lineage: Archaea; Methanobacteriati; Methanobacteriota
Description: partial 16S ribosomal RNA
Rfam family: Archaeal small subunit ribosomal RNA
Source: RNAcentral